Molecule: ribosomal RNA, 460 nt
Filed under: uncultured bacterium
Lineage: Bacteria
Description: partial 16S ribosomal RNA
Rfam family: Bacterial small subunit ribosomal RNA
Source: RNAcentral
CCUACGGGGGGCAGCAGUGAGGAAUAUUGGUCAAUGGACGAGAGUCUGAACCAGCCAAGUAGCGUGAAGGAUGACUGCCCUAUGGGUUGUAAACUUCUUUUAUAAAGGAAUAAAACGAGGCACGUGUGCCUUUUUGCAUGUACUUUAUGAAUAAGGAUCGGCUAACUCCGUGCCUGCAGCCGCGGUAAUACGGAGGAUCCGAGCGUUAUUCGGAUUUAUUGGGUUUAAAGGGAGCGUAGAUGGGUUGUUAAGUCAGUUGUGAAAGUUUGCGGCUCAACCGUAAAAUUGCAAUUGAUACUGGCAGUCGUGAGUACAGUUGAGGUAGGCGGAAUCCGUGGUGUAGCGGUGAAAUGCUUAGAUAUCACGAAGAACCCCGAUUGCGAAGGCAGCUUACUAAACUGUGACUGACAUUGAUGCUCGAAAGUGUGGGUAUCAAACAGGAUUAGAUACCCGUGUAGUC